RNAcentral lists this ribosomal RNA (480 nucleotides) under Gemella morbillorum. RNAcentral describes it as "bacterial SSU rRNA". It matches the Rfam family "Bacterial small subunit ribosomal RNA", at positions 28 to 488 of the family's 1533-position model. The record is from RNAcentral. Lineage: Bacteria; Bacillati; Bacillota; Bacilli; Caryophanales; Gemellaceae.
GACGAACGCGGGCGGCGUGCCUAAUACAUGCAAGUCGAGCGAAGUUUUUCUGGUGCUUGCACUAGAAAAACUUAGCGGCGAACGGGUGAGUAACACGUAAAGAACCUGCCUCAUAGACUGGGACAACUAUUGGAAACGAUAGCUAAUACCGGAUAACAGUAUUUCUCGCAUGAGAGAUAUUUAAAAGUUGGUUAUGCUAACACUAUGAGAUGGCUUUGCGGUGCAUUAGCUAGUUGGUGGGGUAAAGGCCCACCAAGGCGACGAUGCAUAGCCGACCUGAGAGGGUGAUCGGCCACACUGGGACUGAGACACGGCCCAGACUCCUACGGGAGGCAGCAGUAGGGAAUCUUCCGCAAUGGGCGAAAGCCUGACGGAGCAACGCCGCGUGAGUGAAGAAGGAUUUCGGUUCGUAAAGCUCUGUUGUUAGGGAAGAAUGGAUAUGUAGUAACUAUACAUAUAAGAGACGGUACCUAACCAGAA